GGCCGUUACCGCCUGCUGGUUAAGCGUCUGGCUGGCCGCCCCCAUAGCGGUAUAAAUUGCGUGAUCCAUUAAGCUA
Molecule: transfer RNA, 76 nt
Filed under: Salmonella sp. FORC89
Lineage: Bacteria; Pseudomonadati; Pseudomonadota; Gammaproteobacteria; Enterobacterales; Enterobacteriaceae
Description: tRNA-Asn
Source: RNAcentral